AAUGUUUUUGCUCAUUAAUUCAGCAUGUAACUCACAUUCCAAUGGAAGCAGAAGAGGUUGAGCCCACAAUCAAACUGUCACUGAAUUCUAAACCAAAACUGAAGUAUGGACUUCUUCUCAUUAGGGUCACGUUGCCAGGACUAUACAAUGAAAUGCCUGACCGUGAGAGUCCAGUAAUUUUCUUUGCUCUCAGGGUUCCUGUCUGGAAAAGAAAUCUGAGAACUUCAUGGUGAUGAGCAAGCCUGCAGCCCCCGAAGGUCACGGGUGCUGUUGGAGCCACGAGGAAGAGCCAUCAGCCCAGGGAGACCCUGAGGGUCAGAGCAUCUCCAUGGAUGAACUCCGUGUACAGCUGGACUCAUCCAACCCUUCGUGGACAUCACUUUGUAGUGAAAAUCCCUUUUGUUGUUGAAGAAAGCCUGAGUUGGGUGAUUUAUUACUCAUAAAGUAUGUUAAUACCUUGAUGCUAAUAUUCUCAUGAGAGAAUUAUACUCUAGUCUUAUGAUAGCACUAAAAGUAACUUAAAGGCCCCACGCUUCUCCAGAUAAAACCAACACUUGUGAAACCCUUGCUUUGCCAUUUACUAUCUAUGUUCCUGGACAAACUAUUAAAUGUGCCGAGUCUACACCUCCACCUCAGUUUAGGAUCAAUAAUCUAUAUCUUUUCUUUUUCAGUUUCAAUACAUAAAAAUAAGUGCCAUGAGUAGUUCUUGUAACUGAAUAGGCACUCAAAAGUGAAAUUAGGCUCUUCAUUUCUCCUGCUUUCUUAUCGUACAUCUUUAUGAUACUUUAAUUUGAGCUACAACCCCUGAGAUCUUCUUGAGAGUUAAUCACUGCUGAGAGACAAUACAGAGACAGGACAAUAGACAGAUCGCAUGUGACGACAGAGCUCUGACCCACAACCUCUGCAGCAAUUGCUCCCCGACAAUGGGGACUUAGUGAAUAACUGCUACCUGCCCUAUUUAUGCCCCCAACUCAGGAACAGCAGAUCAAUCCAAUAUGCUUCUCUAAUACCCACAUAGUUCUCAUCCUUUUAUUUUUAAUGUUUAUUUUGAUCUACAAUGAAAAUAACAGCUAACAAUCAUAGGUAUGCAUCCUUCAAUGCUUCCAACUUAUAAUCAUUCUUGUAUUAAGAAUUUUACUCUUUCAUUUUCCUGUGGUUGUUUUUUUCCCCUCAGGUUCUGCAAACACAUUUGUUUGCCUAAAAUUGCACCUCUGAGAAAUUCCAGCACACUGGCAUAGUGUUCUGGACUCUCGCUGUGGUAUUACUGCCAGCACUAUGCUUCCUUAUUAAAAAAUGUAGAGGCUCACUUGCAGCAAGCUUGAUAGCAGGAUGAUAAAAUGGCAGGGUAUUUUUAAACACAGAUUUUAUGAGAUGUAUUACAUGGAAUUAAAUUUAGACCAUAUAUCAAGGAAAUCACCAUAGAGCUUUGAGCGUGAUUCAGAUCAUCCUGGCAUUAGUUGGACCACUCUGUUGGCUCAACAAUGUCAUUGCCUGAGUGGGAAAUAAAUGGCCCAGUCUAUGGGGGCACUAUCGGGUUGGCUUGCUGGUCACAGCAUCCUCCCCCCACAAGAUGUCUCAUCUGGAAGGGUACGUAGGGCAGCAAUUGGUGGAAAUACACAGCAGAAGAAGGUUGUGACUCUUUCUCCAACACACCCCCUCCUCCUCAGUACACAACCUCUGCUCCCAAUGAUGGUACAAACAUCAGGGAUUUUUGUACCCUUGACAAAAACCCUUGACAGGACACACUCAAGAAACUGUUUUUUGUUGGUGUGUUUGUUUUUCUUUUUUCUUUUUUAGUUUGCUUUGGUAGGAUCUAUCUAAAUGUAAGGUUAUUUUGAUGGUUAAUAUUGAAUGUCAACUUGAUUGAAGGAUGCAAAGUAUUGUUCCUGGAUGUGUCUGUGAGGGUGUUACUGAAGGAGAUUAACAUUUGAGUCGGUGAACUGGGAGAGGCAGACCCACCCUCAGUCUGGGUGGGCACCAUCUAAUCAGCUGCUAGGGCUGCUACAAUAAAAGCAGGCAGAAGAACAUGAAGGACUAGACCAGUUGAUUCUUCCGGCCUCCAUCUUUCUCCCAUGCUGGUUGCUUCCUGCCCUUGAGUAUUAAACUCCAAGUUCUUCACCUUUGGGACUCUUGGACAUUUGACCACACACUGAAGGCUGCACUGUCGGCUUCCCUACUUUUGAGGUUUUGGGACUUGGACCGGCUUUCUUGCUUCUUUGCUUGCAGACAGCCUAUUGUAAGACUUCACCCUGUGAUCGUGUGAGUCAGAACUCCUUAAUGAACUCUUCCUCAUAUAUACAUCUAUCCUAUUAGUUCUGUGCCUCCAGAGAACCCUGACUAAUACAGUUACACUCCCGGUCCGCAUUUGGGAUUCUGUAUGUAAACCUCAGAAUAAAUUCAACAAAAUUUGUUG
Molecule: long non-coding RNA, 2413 nt
Filed under: Pan troglodytes (chimpanzee)
Lineage: Eukaryota; Metazoa; Chordata; Mammalia; Primates; Hominidae
Description: lincRNA
Source: RNAcentral